GACGAACGCUGGCGGCGUGCCUAAUACUUGCAAGUUGAGCGAUGAAGAUUGGUGCUUGCACCAAUUUGAAGAGCAGCGAACGGGUGAGUAACGCGUGGGGAAUCUGCCUUUGAGCGGGGGACAACAUUUGGAAACGAAUGCUAAUACCGCAUAACAACUUUAAACAUAAGUUUUAAGUUUGAAAGAUGCAAUUGCAUCACUCAAAGAUGAUCCCGCGUUGUAUUAGCUAGUUGGUGAGGUAAAGGCUCACCAAGGCGAUGAUACAUAGCCGACCUGAGAGGGUGAUCGGCCACAUUGGGACUGAGACACGGCCCAAACUCCUACGGGAGGCAGCAGUAGGGAAUCUUCGGCAAUGGACGAAAGUCUGACCGAGCAACGCCGCGUGAGUGAAGAAGGUUUUCGGAUCGUAAAACUCUGUUGGUAGAGAAGAACGUUGGUGAGAGUGGAAAGCUCAUCAAGUGACGGUAACUACCCAGAAAGGGACGGCUAACUACGUG
Molecule: ribosomal RNA, 497 nt
Filed under: uncultured bacterium
Lineage: Bacteria
Description: partial 16S ribosomal RNA
Rfam family: Bacterial small subunit ribosomal RNA
Source: RNAcentral